RNAcentral lists this ribosomal RNA (258 nucleotides) under uncultured bacterium. RNAcentral describes it as "partial 16S ribosomal RNA". It matches the Rfam family "Bacterial small subunit ribosomal RNA", at positions 1234 to 1500 of the family's 1533-position model. The record is from RNAcentral.
CAGGUACAGCGGGAAGCCACCUGGCGACAGGGCGCGGAACCCGAAAACCUGUCUCAGUUCGGAUUGGAGUCUGCAACCCGACUCCAUGAAGCUGGAUUCGCUAGUAAUCGCGCAUCAGCCACGGCGCGGUGAAUACGUUCCCGGGCCUUGUACACACCGCCCGUCAAGCCAUGGAAGCCGGGAGUGCCUGAAGUGCGUGACCGCAAGGAGCGUCCUAAGGCAAUACCGGUGACUGGGGCUAAGUCGUAACAAGGUAAC